Molecule: non-coding RNA, 48 nt
Filed under: Schistosoma mansoni
Lineage: Eukaryota; Metazoa; Platyhelminthes; Trematoda; Strigeidida; Schistosomatidae
Source: RNAcentral
AUCCAGUUGACGAGUCCCAAAUUGGACGAAACGCGCGUCAAACUGGAU